GUCCUCGUGGCCUAACGGAUAAGGCGUCUGACUUCUAAUCAGAAGAUUGCAGGUUCGAAUCCUGUCGGGGACG
RNAcentral lists this transfer RNA (73 nucleotides) under Caerostris extrusa. RNAcentral describes it as "tRNA-Arg". It matches the Rfam family "tRNA". Rfam says of the family: Transfer RNA (tRNA) molecules are approximately 80 nucleotides in length. Their secondary structure includes four short double-helical elements and three loops (D, anti-codon, and T loops). Lineage: Eukaryota; Metazoa; Arthropoda; Arachnida; Araneae; Araneidae. The record is from RNAcentral.